This 74-nucleotide transfer RNA is filed under the name Fidelibacterota bacterium. RNAcentral's name for it is "tRNA-Arg". It matches the Rfam family "tRNA". From Rfam's summary of the family: Transfer RNA (tRNA) molecules are approximately 80 nucleotides in length. Their secondary structure includes four short double-helical elements and three loops (D, anti-codon, and T loops). The record is from RNAcentral. Lineage: Bacteria; Pseudomonadati; Fidelibacterota.
GCACCCAUGGCUCAAUUGGAUAGAGCACUUGACUACGGAUCAGGAGGUUGCAGGUUCAAAUCCUGCUGGGUGUA